This 67-nucleotide transfer RNA is filed under the name Phanerotoma flava. RNAcentral describes it as "tRNA-Tyr". Lineage: Eukaryota; Metazoa; Arthropoda; Insecta; Hymenoptera; Braconidae. The record is from RNAcentral.
AGUAAUGUGUCUGACUUAAGUAAUAAACUGUAAAUUUAUUCAUAAGAUUUUUUAAUCUUCAUUACUA